GAGUUUGAUUCUGGCUCAGAUUGAACGCUGGCGGCAUGCCUUACACAUGCAAGUCGAACGGCAGCGGGCCCUUCGGGGUGCCGGCAAGUGGCGAACGGGUGAGUAACACAUCGAACGUACCCUGUGGUGGGGGAUAACCCGUCGAAAGACGGGCUAAUACCGCAUAAGCUCUGCGGAGGAAAGCGGGGGACCGUCAAGUCCUCGCGCCACAGGAGCGGCCGAUGUCCGAUUAGCUAGUUGGUAGGGUAAAGGCCUACCAAGGCGACGAUCGGUAGCGGGUCUGAGAGGACGGCCCGCCACACUGGGACUGAGACACGGCCCAGACUCCUACGGGAGGCAGCAGUGGGGAGUCUUGGACAAUGGGGGAAACCCUGAUCCAGCAAUGCCGCGUGGGUGAAGAAGGCCUUCGGGUUGUAAAGCCCUUUUGGCAGGGAAGAAAUCGGCUAGGUGAAUAAUCUAGCUGGAUGACGGUACCUGCAGAAAAAGCACCGGCUAACUACGUGCCAGCAGCCGCGGUAAUACGU
Molecule: ribosomal RNA, 524 nt
Filed under: uncultured beta proteobacterium
Lineage: Bacteria; Pseudomonadati; Pseudomonadota; Betaproteobacteria
Description: bacterial SSU rRNA
Rfam family: Bacterial small subunit ribosomal RNA
Source: RNAcentral